RNAcentral lists this ribosomal RNA (253 nucleotides) under uncultured bacterium. RNAcentral's name for it is "partial 16S ribosomal RNA". It matches the Rfam family "Bacterial small subunit ribosomal RNA", at positions 524 to 776 of the family's 1533-position model. The record is from RNAcentral.
UACGGAGGGUGCGAGCGUUGUUCGGAAUUACUGGGCGUAAAGGGCGUGUAGGCGGUUCGUUAAGUCUGAUGUGAAAGCCCGGGGCUUACCCCCGGAAGUGCAUUGGAAACUGGUGAACUCGAGUCCCGAAGAGGAGGGUGGAAUUCCUGGUGUAGCGGUGAAAUGCGUAGAUAUCAGGAGGAACAUCGGAGGCGAAGGCGGCCCUCUGGGCGGUGACUGACGCUGAGACGCGAAAGCGUGGGUAGCAAACAGG